Long non-coding RNA from Oncorhynchus keta (chum salmon), 1326 nucleotides. RefSeq lists it as uncharacterized. The record is from RefSeq and is a predicted model, not a curated record. Lineage: Eukaryota; Metazoa; Chordata; Actinopteri; Salmoniformes; Salmonidae. The transcript is spliced from 2 exons.
GUGAGAGAGUGGUAUGACUACAGGGACUAGUGAGAGAGUGGUAUGACUACAGGGACUGGAAAGAGAGUGGUAUGACUACAGGGACUAGUGAGAGAGUGGUAUGACUACAGGGACUAGUGAGAGAGUGGUAUGACUACAGGGACUAGUGAGAGAGUGGUCUGACUACAGGGACUGGAGAGAGAGUGGUAUGACUACAGGGACUAGUGAGAGAGUGGUAUGACUACAGGAAUUAGUGAGAGAGUGGUAUGACUACAGGGACUAGUGAGAGAGUGGUAUGACUACAGGGACUGGAGAGAGAGUGGUAUGACUACAGGGACUAGUGAGAGAGUGGUAUGACUACAGGGACUAGUGAGAGAGUGGUAUGACUACAGGGACUAGUGAGAGAGAGUGGUAUGACUACAGGGACUAGUGAGAGAGUGUGGUAUGACUACAGGGACUAGUGAGAGAGUGGUAUGACUACAGGGACUAGUGAGAGAGUGGUAUGACUACAGGGACUAGUGAGAGAGUGGUAUGACUACAGGGACUAGUGAGAGAGUGGUAUGACUACAGGGACUAGUGAGAGAGUGGUAUGACUACAGGGACUAGUGAGAGAGUGUUAUGACUACAGGGACUAGUGAGAGAGUGAUAUGACUACGGGGACUGGACAGAGAGUGUGUGAAAAGUAGAAAUUGUUUUUGAAAAAAUAUAAAGGCAGUUAUAGUAUUUUGUGCCUGCCAAAAUGUGAACGUUCAUACUACUUACAGCUCAUGACCUAACAGUGGCCAAAUCUUGGCCUCUGUGUCCUCUGUCUCUUGCUGCCGAGGUUCAGCCUACUUUGCAUGCUGACAGUAAGCCUCGCCUACAAUUUUAUAACAAACACAGUAGGUCAUAAACAAAGAACUCAUGCCACUUCCUAGGAGCAAUAUGAUAGUACUGUCAGUAGUAUGACUCAUCUCUGUGUUGAUUUUGAGGGUUGUAUUCUGUGUAUUACUCAGGUAUCCUGUGAUGAAUAGUUUCUGUUCAUGGACCAUGCUGUAACCAUAGAUCUGUCUCUCUGUCUCUCUGUGUGUGUGACAUAAAUAAUGUACUCCCUCUUCAUGGAAUAUUGUUACAAUGACGCCUCUUUAGUGGGAUACUGCUAUGAGGUGAGUGAUGGCUGCUGAUCCAAAAAUAUGGUUGACUUUGAGGUAUUGCAAUGGCUUCUAUCUUCUAAAGCCAUUCAAGGGAGUGUUGGUCACGUGUGUGUGUUAUUUAUUUUAGUAAUUUAUUCUGAAACUUAAAGUUGUACUUUUGACAUUGGGCAGAAUGUGUAUGAAAUGCACCAAAUAAAUGUUCUGGUGAAUGUAG